RNAcentral lists this ribosomal RNA (116 nucleotides) under Oryctolagus cuniculus (rabbit). The record is from RNAcentral. Lineage: Eukaryota; Metazoa; Chordata; Mammalia; Lagomorpha; Leporidae.
GUCUACGGCCAUACCACCCUGAACGCUCCCGAUCUCGUCUGAUCUCAGAAGCUAAGCAGGAUUGGGCCUGGUUAGUACUUGGAUGGGAGGAAGUAUAUAUACAUGUUUCUCUGACC